ACGCGUGGGAAUCUGCCCAGUAGUGGGGGAUAACUUGGGGAAACUCAAGCUAAUACCGCAUACGCCCCAUGGGGGAAAGAGGGGGAUCCUUCGGGACCUCUUGUUUCUGGAUGAGCCGACGUCGGAUUAGCUUGUUGGUGGGGUAAUGGCCUACCAAGGCGACGAUCCGUAGCUGGUCUGAUAGGACGACCUGACACACUGGGACGGAAACACGGCCCAGACUCCUACGGGAGGCAAGGUGGGGAAUAUUGGACAAUGGGCGAAAGCCUGAUCCAGCAAUGCCCCGUGUGUGAAGAAGGCCUGAGGGUUGUAAAGCACUUUCAAUUGGGAAGAAAAGCUUAAGGUUAAUAACCUUAGGUCUUGACGUUACCUUUACAAGAAGCACCGGCUAAAUC
This 395-nucleotide ribosomal RNA is filed under the name uncultured bacterium. RNAcentral describes it as "bacterial SSU rRNA". It matches the Rfam family "Bacterial small subunit ribosomal RNA", at positions 113 to 503 of the family's 1533-position model. The record is from RNAcentral.